UGGCGGCAGGCCUAACACAUGCAAGUCGAGCGGUAGAGAGAAGCUUGCUUCUCUUGAGAGCGGCGGACGGGUGAGUAAUGCCUAGGAAUCUGCCUGGUAGUGGGGGAUAACGUUCGGAAACGGACGCUAAUACCGCAUACGUCCUACGGGAGAAAGCAGGGGACCUUCGGGCCUUGCGCUAUCAGAUGAGCCUAGGUCGGAUUAGCUAGUUGGUGAGGUAAUGGCUCACCAAGGCGACGAUCCGUAACUGGUCUGAGAGGAUGAUCAGUCACACUGGAACUGAGACACGGUCCAGACUCCUACGGGAGGCAGCAGUGGGGAAUAUUGGACAAUGGGCGAAAGCCUGAUCCAGCCAUGCCGCGUGUGUGAAGAAGGUCUUCGGAUUGUAAAGCACUUUAAGUUGGGAGGAAGGGUUGUAGAUUAAUACUCUGCAAUUUUGACGUUACCGACAGAAUAAGCACCGGCUAACUCUGUGCCAGCAGCCGCGGUAAUACAGAGGGUGCAAGCGUUAAUCGGAAUUACUGGGCGUAAAGCGCGCGUAGGUGGUUUGUUAAGUUGGAUGUGAAAUCCCCGGGCUCAACCUGGGAACUGCAUUCAAAACUGACUGACUAGAGUAUGGUAGAGGGUGGUGGAAUUUCCUGUGUAGCGGUGAAAUGCGUAGAUAUAGGAAGGAACACCAGUGGCGAAGGCGACCACCUGGACUAAUACUGACACUGAGGUGCGAAAGCGUGGGGAGCAAACAGGA
Molecule: ribosomal RNA, 745 nt
Filed under: uncultured bacterium
Lineage: Bacteria
Description: bacterial SSU rRNA
Rfam family: Bacterial small subunit ribosomal RNA
Source: RNAcentral